This 443-nucleotide ribosomal RNA is filed under the name uncultured Sphingobium sp. RNAcentral describes it as "bacterial SSU rRNA". It matches the Rfam family "Bacterial small subunit ribosomal RNA", at positions 335 to 796 of the family's 1533-position model. The record is from RNAcentral. Lineage: Bacteria; Pseudomonadati; Pseudomonadota; Alphaproteobacteria; Sphingomonadales; Sphingobiaceae.
UGCCUACGGGGGGCUGCAGUAGGGAAUAUUGGACAAUGGGGGAAACCCUGAUCCAGCAAUGCCGCGUGAGUGAUGAAGGCCUUAGGGUUGUAAAGCUCUUUUACCCGAGAUGAUAAUGACAGUAUCGGGAGAAUAAGCUCCGGCUAACUCCGUGCCAGCAGCCGCGGUAAUACGGAGGGAGCUAGCGUUGUUCGGAAUUACUGGGCGUAAAGCGCACGUAGGCGGCGAUCUAAGUCAGAGGUGAAAGCCCGGGGCUCAACCCCGGAAUUGCCUUUGAGACUGGAUUGCUAGAAUCCGGGAGAGGUGAGUGGAAUUCCGAGUGUAGAGGUGAAAUUCGUAGAUAUUCGGAAGAACACCAGUGGCGAAGGCGGCUCACUGGACCGGCAUUGACGCUGAGGUGCGAAAGCGUGGGGAGCAAACAGGAUUAGAUACCCGAGUAGUCA